Molecule: transfer RNA, 68 nt
Filed under: Clostridia bacterium
Lineage: Bacteria; Bacillati; Bacillota; Clostridia
Description: tRNA-Ala
Rfam family: tRNA
About the family: Transfer RNA (tRNA) molecules are approximately 80 nucleotides in length. Their secondary structure includes four short double-helical elements and three loops (D, anti-codon, and T loops). Further hydrogen bonds mediate the characteristic L-shaped molecular structure. tRNAs have two regions of fundamental functional importance: the anti-codon, which is responsible for specific mRNA codon recognition, and the 3' end, to which the tRNAs corresponding amino acid is attached (by aminoacyl-tRNA synthetases). tRNAs cope with the degeneracy of the genetic code in two manners: having more than one tRNA (with a specific anti-codon) for a particular amino acid; and 'wobble' base-pairing, i.e. permitting non-standard base-pairing at the 3rd anti-codon position.
Source: RNAcentral
AUAGCUCAGCUGGCUAGAGCAUCGGCUUUGCAAGCCGAGGGUCAGGGGUUCGAAUCCCCUUAUCUCCA